CUGCACUUCAGGCAAACUAUCCGAAAGGUUAGGACGCAAAGCCACCGGUCUGUCGACAUCUUAUGUCUAUGAUAGCGGGGUUGCCAUU
RNAcentral lists this non-coding RNA (88 nucleotides) under Vibrio tubiashii. RNAcentral's name for it is "c-di-GMP sequence". It matches the Rfam family "c-di-GMP-I riboswitch aptamer". From Rfam's summary of the family: GEMM was predicted in a large-scale screen for bacterial structured RNA regulatory elements. Genes associated with GEMM are involved in a diverse array of functions, including chemotaxis regulation, signal transduction, secretion and chitin. Lineage: Bacteria; Pseudomonadati; Pseudomonadota; Gammaproteobacteria; Vibrionales; Vibrionaceae. The record is from RNAcentral.